This is a long non-coding RNA of Monopterus albus (swamp eel), 183 nucleotides long. RefSeq lists it as uncharacterized. The record is from RefSeq and is a predicted model, not a curated record. The transcript has 3 exons. Lineage: Eukaryota; Metazoa; Chordata; Actinopteri; Synbranchiformes; Synbranchidae.
CUUGAAUUUAAGAAGCUUAACUCAAUGAUUCAUCCAGUGUUGGAGAAGCAAUAUAAAGGAAUCACAGGCUUUAUCAACGUCUUUGUGAAGGGGUUCAGAGAAGGAAGUGUAAUUACAGACUUUGUUGUCCAGACAACACAAGUUAGUGUGGAUGAAAUAACUGAAGCAAAUAAUAAACUCCCA